UAGGGAAUCUUCGGCAAUGGACGAAAGUCUGACCGAGCAACGCCGCGUGAGUGAAGAAGGCUUUCGGAUCGUAAAACUCUGUUGUCAGAGAAGAACAAGGACGUUAGUAACUGAACGUCCCCUGACGGUAUCUAACCAGAAAGCCACGGCUAACUACGUGCCAGCAGCCGCGGUAAUACGUAGGUGGCAAGCGUUGUCCGGAUUUAUUGGGCGUAAAGCGAGCGCAGGCGGUUUCUUAAGUCAGAUGUGAAAGCCCCCGGAUCAACCGGGGAGGGUCAUUAGAAACUGGGAGACGUGAGUGCAGAAGAGGAGAGUGGAAGUCCAUGUGUAGCGGUGAAAUGCGUAGAUAUAUGGAGGAACGCCGGUGGCGAAGGCGGCUCUCUGGUCUGAAACGGACGCUGAGGCUCGAAAGCGUGGGGAGCAAACAGG
Molecule: ribosomal RNA, 429 nt
Filed under: Gemmatimonadota bacterium
Lineage: Bacteria; Pseudomonadati; Gemmatimonadota
Description: Gemmatimonadetes bacterium partial 16S ribosomal RNA
Rfam family: Bacterial small subunit ribosomal RNA
Source: RNAcentral